UAACAGCCAUAAGUACAUACAUGUGUGCACC
Molecule: non-coding RNA, 31 nt
Filed under: Rattus norvegicus (Norway rat)
Lineage: Eukaryota; Metazoa; Chordata; Mammalia; Rodentia; Muridae
Source: RNAcentral